AUUGAACGCUGGCGGCAGGCCUAACACAUGCAAGUCGAGCGGAGCGGCGGACGGGUGAGUCAUACCUAGGAAUCUGCCUGGUAGUGGGGGAUAACGUUCGGAAACGGACGCUAAUACCGCAUACUAUCAGAUGAGCCUAUGUCGGAUUAGCUAGUUGGUGAGGUAAUGGCUCACCAAGGCUACGAUCCGUAACUGGUCUGAGAGGAUGAUCAGUCAAACGGGAACAGAGACACGGUGCAGAGGCCUACGGGAGGCAGCAGUGGAGAAGAUGGGACAAUGGGCGAAAGCGUGAUCCAGCCAUGCCGCGUGUGUGAAGAAGGUCUUCGGAGUGUAAGGCACUUUAAGUUGGGAGGCGUUACCGACAGAAUAAGCACCGGCUAACUCCGUGCCAGCAGCCGCGGUAAUUC
RNAcentral lists this ribosomal RNA (407 nucleotides) under uncultured bacterium. Its description in RNAcentral is "partial 16S ribosomal RNA". It matches the Rfam family "Bacterial small subunit ribosomal RNA", at positions 30 to 526 of the family's 1533-position model. The record is from RNAcentral.